Molecule: long non-coding RNA, 371 nt
Organism: Mus musculus (house mouse)
Lineage: Eukaryota; Metazoa; Chordata; Mammalia; Rodentia; Muridae
Product: predicted gene, 39910
Exons: 3
Source: RefSeq, a predicted model, not a curated record
AAAUGUUUAUCCCUUAAUGAACUCUGUAUGAACUUACUUGUUCUGGAGUCCUGAGGAUACUUCAUGUAACAGGCUCCUGUGGAUAAUGCUGCAGUAAACAUGGAGCUCACCAGUCUCUUUAAGCUGAUGUCAUUUCCUUUGGCUGCACACCCAUACAGUGGCUGGAUUACAGGGUACCACCACCUUCACUUUUACAAGGGAACGCGCAUACUAUUUUGCAAUGGUCACACUAAGCCACAUUUCCACCAAAAGCAGAAGAUUUUGAAGAAACUUAACAAGGAGAAUAAGAAGGAAGGGAAAUGGUUGACCUCAUGUGGAUGAUCAAGCAAACUUACAGAUAAGCCUUCAAACGCCAAUUUCCAGCCUUUUGG